This 173-nucleotide ribosomal RNA is filed under the name Thiorhodospira sibirica. RNAcentral's name for it is "partial 16S ribosomal RNA". It matches the Rfam family "Bacterial small subunit ribosomal RNA", at positions 335 to 505 of the family's 1533-position model. The record is from RNAcentral. Lineage: Bacteria; Pseudomonadati; Pseudomonadota; Gammaproteobacteria; Chromatiales; Ectothiorhodospiraceae.
AUCCUACGGGAGGCAGCAGUGGGGAAUAUUGGACAAUGGGCGCAAGCCUGAUCCAGCAAUGCCGCGUGUGUGAAGAAGGCCUGCGGGUUGUAAAGCACUUUCGGCAGGGAAGAAAGGCUCAAUGUUAAUACCAUUGGGCUCUGACGUACUGCAUAGAGACCCGAUUUCCCCCC